GACGAACGCUGGCGGCGUGCUUAACACAUGCAAGUCGAACGGAAAGGCCCUGCUUUUGUGGGGUGCUCGAGUGGCGAACGGGUGAGUAACACGUGAGUAACCUGCCCUUGACUUUGGGAUAACUUCAGGAAACUGGGGCUAAUACCGGAUAGGAGCUCCUGCUGCAUGGUGGGGGUUGGAAAGUGUCGGCGGUGGGGGCUGGACUCGCGGCUUAUCAGCUUGUUGGUGGGGUAGUGGCUGACCACGGCUUUGACGGGUAGCCGGCCUGAGAGGGUGAACGGCGACAUUGGGACUGAGAUACGGCCCAGACUCCUACGGGAGGCAGCAGUGGGGAAUAUUGCACAAUGGGCGGAAGCCUGAUGCAGCAACGCCGCGUGCGGGAUGACGGCCUUCGGGUUGUAAACCGCUUUCGCCUGUGACGAAGCGUGAGUGACGGUAAUGGGUAAAGAAGCACCGGCUAACUACGUG
This 468-nucleotide ribosomal RNA is filed under the name uncultured bacterium. RNAcentral's name for it is "partial 16S ribosomal RNA". It matches the Rfam family "Bacterial small subunit ribosomal RNA", at positions 28 to 507 of the family's 1533-position model. The record is from RNAcentral.